Long non-coding RNA from Oncorhynchus tshawytscha (Chinook salmon), 985 nucleotides. NCBI's taxonomy places the organism in Eukaryota, Metazoa, Chordata, Actinopteri, Salmoniformes, Salmonidae. The record is from Ensembl.
CAGGAAGUCAAGGUAAAUGCAAUACUAACGGGGAAUUAUACAGGAAGUCAAGGUAAAUGCAAUACUAACGGGGAAUUAUACAGGAAGUCAAGGUAAAUGCAAUAGUAAUGGGGAAUUAUACAGGAAGUCCAGGUAAAUGCAAAGUAAGUGUGUAAAAACAUUUAUCUUUUGAAGAAAUGACCAGAAGUUAUGAAAAUGCCCCAGCAUCAGCCAGCCAGCCAGCCAGUCAGCCAGUCAGUCAGCUAGCUAGCGGAGCACCCUUCCAUCUGCAGUAGUCAGCAGCCUAAUGCAAAAUGCCCCAGCAUCAGUCAGCCAGCCAGCCAGUCAGCCAGCCAGUCAGCCAGCUAGCUAGCGGAGCACCCUUCCAUCUGCAGUAGUCAGCAGUCUAAUGCAAAAUGCCCCAGCCAGCCAGUCAGUCAGUCAGCCAGCCAGUCAGUCAGUCAGUCAGCCAGCAGAGCACCCUUCCAUCCAGCAGUCUAAUGGAUCUACACUGUUCUGUCGUGAACCCAUUUCAGAUGUUCUGUUGUGAACCCAUUUCAGAUGUUCUGUUGUGAACCCAUUUCAGAUGUUCUGUUGUGAACCCAUUUCAGAUGUUCUGUUGUGAACCCAUUUCAGAUGUUCUGUUGUGAACCCAUUUCAGAUGUUCUGUUGUGAACCCAUUUCAGAUGUUCUGUUCGUUGCAGAAGACAAUAGUACAUUUAAAAUGACUUGUCAAAAUGUUAGUGUGUUCUUUCUUUCUGUGUCAACCUCAGUGAUCUGAAUGUACCAGUCGCUUGGUUUAAGCAUUCUAUAGCAAUAUAGCUGCACGGUCAGCGGGCUAGCGGCUCAGGGAGGGAGUCGCUUGGUUUAAGGGAGUCGCUUGGUUUAAGGGAGUCGCUUGGUUUAAGCAUUCUAUAGUAAUAUAGCUGCAUGGUCAGCGGGCUAGCGGCUCAGUGAGGGAGUCGCUUGGUUUAACGAUUCUAUAGUAAUAUAGCUGCAUGGUCAG